This is a non-coding RNA of Manis javanica (Malayan pangolin), 1654 nucleotides long. The record is from RefSeq and is a predicted model, not a curated record. Lineage: Eukaryota; Metazoa; Chordata; Mammalia; Pholidota; Manidae.
GUCUCCAGGGGACGAAGGGAGACAGAAAACACGGCUGUUUCACGUCAGUCCCAAAGAGUGUGGGCAUCUGGCUUCAGUGUCUGGUCUUGUACAUUCAGAAACUUCCUUUGUCAUUGCAUCUGUUGCUGCUCUGGUCACAGGUUCCAAUAAUCAGACUCAUAAGACACUGAGUCAUAACCAGAAAGUAGACUUUCUCACUUGGCCGAAGGAGUGUGCGUUCCCAGAACCCGGAAUACUGGUGGUUGUGAUCCAAGCCAAUCCUGUCCUCAUGUUCCAGGUCAAAGGACAUUUUUUAUUCUCAAGGAGUGUUUUAUAAUAAUACUCUUCUAGCUGAACGCUGACACAGCAGAGAGAGCACAUUAUUGCUCCUUCUUUCCAAAGAGACUGAGGCUCAGAGAGGCUUUACCCAAAGGUCAUGAUUUCCUGGGUCUCAUGGUCCUUAUUUACAAAUUAAGGUCAGAGCUGAGUUUUAUUAACUGCGAUCCUAAAAAAUCAGGAACCUAAAUGGAUACAUCAGAAUUUUUAUUGAAAUUAGUAAUAACUUCCUUCAGUAAAUGGAUGAGGCUUAAAUUCUGAGCCAGGUGAGUAUGGAAACUUCCAUCUCAAUAAAUUUCCCUUCGUCCCUGUCUGAGCUCAGUUUCUCUAGAAGCAGAGCCCAAUUCAGGGCUCUGGGAACAUGGAAUUUAUUUAUCUUGGAUCAGUUUAUUUAUUUUUGUUUACUUUUUCCUGAAGGGAAAACUGGUCAUGAGGGAGAAGGGGGCUGAGCAAGGAUGUGGUCUCGGGUGGAGUCCGGCCUCGGCCUGACCUGCUGCGGGAGGUGCAGAGCAUAAACUUGUGCCAGAAAACCAGCCUUGGGGUCCUGUGUGAGCCGCUACUGGCCGGGGCAGCCCCUGGGGGUGGACAGGGAGCAGCAGCCUGUGCCUUCCCAGAGGAGAUGGGGCCUGCCAGCCAAGGGCAGCUCUCCAGGAAGGGGGCUGUGAGCCCUCGGCGGCCGAUACUCUGCGCAGCAAGAGCAGGGGGCUGAUGUGGGGCAGGGGCUGACGUGGGGCAGGGGCUCUGGCGCGCCUGGCGUCUGUGCUCAGUAAGCACUCUGUGCGUUGCCCUCUCACCUCGGGCAUUUUGUGUGAGUUCCAUUCUCUGCCCAGAACUUGUUCCCCUCAUUUUUGCUCAAAUAUAUCUUACUUCCCCUUUAGGCCUGAUCUUAGGCACUGCCUCCUCCAGGAAGCCUUUGGCAACCCUUCCAAGCGCAUCCAGGCUUCCCCUCUGUCUUCCCGUUCACACCAAGUCAACACAGUAAAGCUGACCCCUGCUCGUGGAAGCUCCAGGUCUGCACCAGGCUCUGAGAUGCCCCGCAGCUGCCUCCUGAGAUCUCAGCGGUCCUGAGAAACGACCACUGCCCCAUGUCACAGGAGGGCCCUGGGCUUGAGGAAGGCCAACCGCGUGGUGGGGCGAGGGAACGAGAGCAGAAGCCCAGAAGCCAAUGUGUGCUCAGGCCCACUUCACGUGUGGAGCAAACCUGUAAGGGCAGCGCCAGCAGGCGCUGGCAUUCCACGACGCUUACGUGGUGCUCCUCCCACAUGUCCUUUCUUCCCCAUCUGCCCAACAGACCCAGAGCGCAUGCCACCUUUCUUGACAUCCCUCCUUCGGAACACCC